GUUCCUGUAGUUAAAUUAAAUAACGAUGGUUUUUCAGGCCGUAGAUCUUGGGUAAAGACCGAGUAGGAACU
Molecule: transfer RNA, 71 nt
Filed under: Cnemophilus loriae (Loria's bird-of-paradise)
Lineage: Eukaryota; Metazoa; Chordata; Aves; Passeriformes; Corvidae
Description: tRNA-Glu
Rfam family: tRNA
About the family: Transfer RNA (tRNA) molecules are approximately 80 nucleotides in length. Their secondary structure includes four short double-helical elements and three loops (D, anti-codon, and T loops).
Source: RNAcentral